This 494-nucleotide ribosomal RNA is filed under the name uncultured bacterium. Its description in RNAcentral is "partial 16S ribosomal RNA". It matches the Rfam family "Bacterial small subunit ribosomal RNA", at positions 28 to 507 of the family's 1533-position model. The record is from RNAcentral.
GACGAACGCUGGCGGCGUGCUUAACACAUGCAAGUCGAACGGUGAAGCGCCUUCCUUUUUGGUGGGUGUGGAUGAGUGGCGAACGGGUGAGUAACACGUGAGUAACCUGCCCCCUUCUUCUGGUUAACCGCAUGAAAGUGUGGCUAAUACGGGAUAUUCUGGGUCUGUCGCAUGAUGGGUCUGGGAAAGAUAUUGUUUCGGUGGGGGAUGGGCUCGCGGCCUAUCAGCUUGUUGGUGGGGUGAUGGCCUACCAAGGCGGUGACGGGUAGCCGGCCUGAGAGGGUGGACGGUCACACGGGGACUGAGACACGGCCCAGACUCCUACGGGAGGCAGCAGUGGGGAAUAUUGCACAAUGGGCGCAAGCCUGAUGCAGCGACGCCGCGUGAGGGAUGGAGGCCUUCGGGUUGUGAACCUCUUUCGCCAGUGAAGCAGGCCUGCCUCGUUUGUGGGUGGGUUGACGGUAGCUGGAUAAGAAGCGCCGGCUAACUACGUG